This 305-nucleotide ribosomal RNA is filed under the name uncultured bacterium. RNAcentral's name for it is "bacterial SSU rRNA". It matches the Rfam family "Bacterial small subunit ribosomal RNA", at positions 334 to 635 of the family's 1533-position model. The record is from RNAcentral.
AAUCCCUACGGGAGGCAGCAGUGAGGAAUAUUGGUCAAUGGGCGAGAGCCUGAACCAGCCAAGUCGCGUGAAGGAUGACGGCCCUACGGGUUGUAAACUUCUUUUGUCAGGGAGCAAUUGAGUCCACGUGUGGGCUUAGCGAGAGUACCUGAAGAAAAAGCAUCGGCUAACUCCGUGCCAGCAGCCGCGGUAAUACGUAGGUGGCGAGCGUUAUCCGGAAUGAUUGGGCGUAAAGGGUGCGCAGGCGGUCCUGCAAGUCUGGAGUGAAACGCAUGAGCUCAACUCAUGCAUGGCUUUGGAAACUG